GAUGAAGAACGUAGUGAAAUGCGAUAAGUAAUGUGAAUUGCAGAAUUCAGUGAAUCAUCGAAUCUUUGAACGCACAUUGCGCCCGCCAGUAUUCUGGCGGGCAUGCCUGUUCGAGCGUCAUUUCAACCCUCAGGGCCCUUUUGGACCUGGCGUUGGGGCUCGGCCGCUACCCUGCGGCCGUCCCCGAAAGAUAGUGGCGGUCUCGCUGUAGCCUCCUCUGCGUAGUAGUUACAUCUCGCACUGGAACGCGGCGCGGCCAUGCCGUUAAACACCCCACUUCUCAAGGUUGACCUCGGAUCAGGUAGGAAUACCCGCUGAACUUAAGCAUAUCAAUAAGUGGAGGA
RNAcentral lists this unclassified non-coding RNA (344 nucleotides) under soil metagenome. RNAcentral describes it as "partial contains 5.8S ribosomal RNA, internal transcribed spacer 2, and large subunit ribosomal RNA". The stretch from base 1 to 120 matches the Rfam family "5.8S ribosomal RNA", at positions 35 to 154 of the family's 154-position model. The record is from RNAcentral.